Raphanus sativus (radish) is the source of this 509-nucleotide long non-coding RNA. RefSeq lists it as uncharacterized. The record is from RefSeq and is a predicted model, not a curated record. The transcript has 3 exons. Lineage: Eukaryota; Viridiplantae; Streptophyta; Magnoliopsida; Brassicales; Brassicaceae.
GUUUUUAAAAUGUAAAGCUAUGUUUGUAAUCGCGGGAAAAUAAAAUAAUUCAGGCGCGUUAAUUUGGUAAGUGGAGGCGCUUUACCAUUGCAAAUUAAAAAAAAUAAAUGCUAUCUUAUCUGAAAAAUAUAUUAAAAAUAAUUCAGCCACGUUUCUUUUAUUUCUGUUUCUUCUCUGUAGUCUGCUUGACUUCCUCAAAUUCUCAGAUUCAUCACCACUCCUUUUGUCACCAUCGCUCGUUAUCCCACCACCACCAGCUCGUCACCACCAUCACCAUAUCUCUCAUCCGCUUCGAUGGUUCAGGUCGGCGGGGAAGAUGCUUUGAUGGUUCAGGUCGCUGGAGAUGUCUCGUUCUCUGAGUAUGAGCCUCCCUCUUGGCAGAGCCAAAGUUUCUCCGGACUGAUUUCAGGGGGUUGUUGGAUCAUGUAGCUUCUUAGUUAUGACCUCUAGCACAACAUGAGAUCGAAGGGUAUCACAGGACACAAUUGUUGCUUGAGUAGAAGCCCGUG